AUGUUCUAUGCACAUUUUGCCCUCAGUAAGAGGGCCUCUGGCCAAAAUUUGGCUAGUGGCCCAUUGGGAUAAGAAGCUAACCAAAGCUCAUGUGUUUCAGUGUAAUUUAGAGAGCAGUGUGGAGAAUAUCAUCUCACCAAAGAUGAAGAUGGCAUUACAGACAUGAGUACAUCUUUUUCUGGGACUAGUUUGAACAGGAAGGCCAAAUACCUUCUUUCAGACUGUAAUGAAGCAUUCAUUAAGAUAAAGAUGGCUUUUUGGCCAGGUGUUGUUGACCUGAGAAAAAUCGGGGAGCAGCUUAUAACACCAUUACUUUACUUGAAGAAUUUCAUGACUUUGAUCAGCCGUUGCCUGACUUAGAUGACAUUGAUGAGGCCCAGGAGUUCAGCUUGGAUCAGAGUAGAGUGGAAGAGAUAACCAUGAGAGAAGAAGUUGGGAAUAUCAGUAUGUUACAAGAAAAUUAUUUUGGUGAUUUUGGAAUGGAUGAUCGUGAGACAAUGAAAGAAGGCAGUGCUUUUGUGAACGUUAGCAAGCACUGCUGCUUCUAACCUCAGAUUAGCAUCUGAACAGAGCACCAGCAAUCUGAAUGAGAAAAUUAACCAUUUAGAAUAUAAAGACCAAUAUAAAGACAACAAUUUUGGAGAAGGAAAUGAUGGUGGAAUAUUAGAUGACAAACUUAGUAAUAAUGAUGGUGGUAUCUUUGAUGAUCCCCUGCCCUCUCUGAGGCAGGGGUGAUGUUGCCAGAGCAGCCUGCACAUGAUGAUAUGGAUGAGGAUGAUAAUGUAUUAACGGGUGGGCCUGAGAGUCCUGAUUCAGGAUCCUGUUGAACCAGCCAACUAUGAUCAAACAACACCUGUUACAAUGAGGAAGAAGCAUUUGCAUUGGAACCUAUUGCUAUAACUGUUGAAGAAACAAAAGCCAAGAUGAAGAGGAAGCUAAUUGUUGACAGUAUCAAAGACUCGAAUAGCAAGACAAUCAGAGCCCAACUUAGUGAUUCUUCUGAUAUUGUUACUACUUUGGGUCUGGCACCACCUACCAAGAAAUAGGUGAUGUGGAAAGAGACAGGAGGAGUAAAAAAACUGUUUUCUUUACCUGCUCAGCCUUUGUGGAAUAACAUACUACUAAAGUUCUUUACAUGCUGUCUCACACCACUUGUACCAGAAGACCUUAGAAAAAGGAGGAAAGAAGAGGCAGAUAAUUUGGAUGAGUUCCUCAAAAAACUUGAAAAUCCAGAGGUUCCUAGAGAGGACCGGUAACAGUUACACCAGCUGCAUGAUGUUAUCGAUGACCCCAUUUUGGAAGAGCCAAGCCGCCUCCAGGAGUCAGUAAUGGAAGCCAGCAGAACAAACCUGGACAUGUCAACUAUGCCUCCAUCACCACCUCAGGGAGUUAAGCAAAAAGCUGGACAAAUUGACCCAGAGCCUAUGAUGCCUCCUCAGCAGGUAGAGAAGAGGAAAUAUUGCCUGUAGAACUUCCCCUAGAAGAACCUCCAAAUAUCUGUCAGCUAACACCAGAGUUAGAACUUCUGCCAGAAAAAGAGAAGGAGAAAGAAAAGGAAAAAAAAAAGAUGAUGAAGAGGAAAUGGAUGAAGAUACUUCAGGGGGUAAUCAAGAUCAGGAAGAAAGAAGAUGGAAGAAAAGGACUCAGCAGAUGCUUCAUGGUCUUCAGUGAGCUCUUGCUAAAACAGGAGCUGAAUCUAUCAGUUUGCUUGAGUUAUGUCAAAACACAAACAGAAAACAAGCUGCCGCAAAGUUCGACAGCUUCUUAGUUCUUAGAAAGCAGCAAGCUAUUGAGCUGACACAUGAAGAACCAUACAGUGACAUCAUCCCAACACCUGGACCAAAGUUCCGUAUUUUAUGAGGAGCUAGAAGCAUUAUACCUAGUGUUCAUUUCAUUAGUGCUUAUAAAUUGCUCCCAUGUGUAGGGUACAGAGAACCCUUUGAGAAAACAAGAUUUUUGUCUAUACAAAAUAUUUGCCUUUUUCUUUCUUCCUUUUUUCCUAGUAUGUUAAAUUUGUCAAUUACAUCUUUGAGGGAAACUGAUUAGAUAGGUUGUUUGUGUUCUGAUGGAGAAAACAGCACCCCAAGGACUCAGAAGAUUAUUUUAACAGUUCAGAACAGAUGUGUGCAAUAUUGGUGCAUGUAAUAGUGUUGAGUGGCAGUUGAAAGACAUUUUUAUCUUAGUUCAUUACUGCAUUAAACAGGAAAACCUGUCUGGGAAAAUGCCUGACAGUUUAAUUUAAAACUAUGGUAUGAGUCUUUGACAAGAAAAAAAAAGCCUUUCCAUCAGUAACACUGGCAAUCUUCUUGUUAACCACUCUCCUUAUGGAUGGUACCUGAAAUAACAAGUCAUCCUCUUGAGAUUUGUUUUAAGUGUAAUACCCUGAUGAGCAAAGAUGUACGUGAAAUUGUAUUGUGACUGAUAGCCUUCAGCUACAAAUAGAUAGGACUGACUUGGUUUAAAGUGUUCUAUUUUGUAAAUCAUUCCAUUUGAGUCUUUCUGAUGAACUUGGCUAUCCCCAAAAUCUGUCAUUUUACUGAGGCUCCAAAAUGAGCAGAAAUAGGCCUGAUUAGAGUAGAGCAACUAUCAAAAGACAUAACUUUCUAGAAGCUAUAAAUCAAGGUUUUAAAAAGAUGUUUGGAUAUAUUUGAGUAUUCAGAUCAUAAAGACAGAAAGUGCCCUGCCUACUACAAGGACAGACUGAUGGGAAAUUAUAUACCAGGUCAACUUAACGUUUAAGCAGACAAUGCUGUAAAAACUAAUGACUUCUCUGAUAUUUUUUAUAAGUUUUAGUACUGAUCUCCUUUUCCAGUGCUGCACACUCCUGUGUUUGAAACUUUAAUAGCUUUGCAAUGAAAUCCUAUAUCCAGUUUACUGUAAUUUAACUGAAGAAAAACACAUCCAAAUAAAGGUCUAUAUUA
This is a non-coding RNA of Callithrix jacchus (white-tufted-ear marmoset), 2921 nucleotides long. NCBI's taxonomy places the organism in Eukaryota, Metazoa, Chordata, Mammalia, Primates, Cebidae. The record is from RefSeq and is a predicted model, not a curated record.